Molecule: unclassified non-coding RNA, 309 nt
Filed under: Hevea brasiliensis (rubber tree)
Lineage: Eukaryota; Viridiplantae; Streptophyta; Magnoliopsida; Malpighiales; Euphorbiaceae
Source: RNAcentral
AAACAACUAAAACAGGUCGAUAAACAGAGGAACUAAAAGGGAUAUGAUAAGAUAAAAGAAAAACAAAAAUCAAAAAAACUAAAACAUAAAACAAAAGACCUUACAGAGAAAAAAUAAACAAGAGCUGAUAUUGAAGAUGGUCUCAAAAUCCUUUUCCUCUUACGACGUUGCUCUGAAGAAUCCAUUUUUUUUUUUGCAGAUUUUUGGAUCUAUAAGCAAAAGGGGUGUUAAAGAUUGGUUCUUUUUGCAGAUCUAACAAAGAAAAAAUUGAAUUUGAAGGAGUUUUUGGUUGUUUUUGCUGGUUUUUUG